CUUGUCAACUUUUUGCUACUCUUGAUAUAAACCCUGAACCCCUGUGAAAAUCUGGCAGCUGCGUGAGCUGCAGACUCAGCAAGAUGGCUCUGGAGGGGCUUACGCAGAUCUUGCCCUUUUCUGGACCAAGAGAAAAUAGCACCAGAGACUGAGAGAGGAGCAGCUGGGACAACCAGACUGUGCUUUGUGCAAGUUCACGUUCAAGACGUGGCUGCAGGCAUCCGGCUAACAGUGGAGGAAGUGGCUUAUCUCUGUGGCUCUGACACCCGCUAGGACGUGAGCAGGUGGUCAGCAGUGGCAUGGGAUGAGGUGCCAGUGGCGUGGCUUGAUCUCCCACGGUAACCUCUGGGGACAGGGAGAAACGUGCUGAAGCUGCAGUGAGGCUCAAGAAAGAGGAGAAGUGGGUGGAAGACCUGUGAAGGAGGAAGCAAGGGAUUCAGUUGGAGGGUAGAAAGAAAAGGA
This is a long non-coding RNA of Neopelma chrysocephalum (saffron-crested tyrant-manakin), 462 nucleotides long. RefSeq lists it as uncharacterized. The record is from RefSeq and is a predicted model, not a curated record. The transcript has 3 exons. NCBI's taxonomy places the organism in Eukaryota, Metazoa, Chordata, Aves, Passeriformes, Pipridae.